GACUAGCAUGCGAGUCGUGAGGGUUCGGCCCUCGGCAGACGGCUCAGUAACACGUGGAUAAUCUACCCUUAGGUGGAGGAUACCCUCGGGAAACUGAGAAUAAUACUCCAUGGAUCUAGACUGCUGGAAUGCUUUUAGAUCGAAAGAUUUAUCGCCUAAGGAUGAGUCUGCGGACUAUCAGGUUGUAGUCAGGGUAAUGACCUGACUAGCCUACGACGGAUACGGGUAGUGAGAGCUUUAGCCCGGAGAUGAUACCUGAGACACGAUAUCAGGCCCUACGGGGCGCAGCAGGCGCGAAAACUUCGCACUGUGCGAAAGCACGACGAGGGAAUCCCAAGUGCUGGCUCGUAAGAUCAGCUGUUUCUCUGUCUAAAAAACAGGGAGAGU
Molecule: ribosomal RNA, 387 nt
Filed under: uncultured methanogenic archaeon
Lineage: Archaea; Methanobacteriati; Methanobacteriota
Description: bacterial SSU rRNA
Rfam family: Archaeal small subunit ribosomal RNA
Source: RNAcentral